Molecule: ribosomal RNA, 1377 nt
Filed under: Chlamydodon triquetrus
Lineage: Eukaryota; Ciliophora; Phyllopharyngea; Chlamydodontida; Chlamydodontidae
Description: SSU rRNA
Rfam family: Eukaryotic small subunit ribosomal RNA
Source: RNAcentral
UCUAAGUAUAAGUAAAAGGCGAAACUGCGAAUGGCUCAUUAAAACAGUUAUAUUAUUUGAUAAUUUAUAUGGAUAACCGUGGGAAACUAGAGCUAAUACAUGCAUAGUGCCGUAUUUAUUAGUUUGAUGAAUCAUAAUAACUGAUCGGAUCGCACGCGAUAAAUCUUUCAAGUUUCUGCCCUAUCAGCGACGGUAGUGUAUUGGACUACCGUGGCUAUCACGGGUAACGGAGAAUUAGGGUUCGAUUCCGGAGAGGGAGCCUGAGAAACGGCUACCACAUCUAAGGUAGGCAGCAGGCGCGUAAAUUACCCAAUCUUGACUCAGGGAGGUAGUUACGAGGAAUAUGAAGCCACUAUUGGAGGGCAAGUCGGUGCCAGCAGCCGCGGUAAUUCCAGCUCCAAAAGUGUAUCUUAAUGUUGUUGCAGUUAAAAAGCUCGUAGUUGAACUUCUGCGUCAUCCGCUUGGAAAAGGCAUUUUACUUUGAAGAAAUUAGAGUGUUCCAGGCAGGCCUUUGCUUGAAUAUAUCAGCAUGGAAUAAUGGAAUAGGAUUUGGUUAAUGAUUAACAGGGACAGUUGGGGGCAUUCGUAUUCAUUUGUCAGAGGUGAAAUUCUUGGAUUAGGUGAAGACGAACUAAUGCGAAAGCAUUUGCCAAGGAUGUUUUCAUUAAUCAAGAACGAAAGUUAGGGGAUCAAAGACGAUUAGAUACCGUCGUAGUCCUAACUAUAAACUAUACCGACUAGGGAUUGGCAGCCCUGUCAGCACCUAAAGAGAAAUCAAAGUCUUUGGGUUCUGGGGGGAGUAUGGUCGCAAGGCUGAAACUUAAAGGAAUUGACGGAAGGGCACCACCAGGAGUGGAGCCUGCGGCUCAAUUUGAUUCAACACGGGGAAACUUACCAGGGCCAGACCUUUGUAGGAUUGACAGAUUGAUAGCUCUUUCUUGAUUAGAGGGAUGGUGGUGCAUGGCCGUUCUUAGUUGGUGGAGUGAUUUGUCAGGUUAAUUCCCUUAACGAACGAGACCUUAACCUACUAAAUCUUCUUAGAGGGACUAAACACAUGGAAGUUUGAGGCAAUAACAGGUCCGUGAUGCCCUUAUAUGUCCUGGGCCGCACGCGCGCUACACUGACGCACGCAACAACCUAACCCGAAAGGGGAUGGGUAAUCUUUAAAAUGCGUCGUGCUAGGGAUUGAUCUUUGCAAUUCUGGAUCAUGAACGAGGAAUUCCUAGUAAUGUUGUGUCAUCAACGCGACAUGAUUAAGUCACUGCUCUUUGUACACACCGCCCGUCGCUCCUACCGAGAGUGAUCCGGUGAACUUUUUGGACUAGGGAAGUUAAGCAAAUCUUAUCACUUAGAGGAAGGAGAAGUCGUAACAAGGUU